This 186-nucleotide small RNA is filed under the name Arabidopsis thaliana (thale cress). Its description in RNAcentral is "ATSL060610". Lineage: Eukaryota; Viridiplantae; Streptophyta; Magnoliopsida; Brassicales; Brassicaceae. The record is from RNAcentral.
AAUCCUACUAUAUUAUUUGGAAAAUACAUUUUAAAUGUAACCUUAAUUUUUGUAAGUAAUUAUAUAGGUAUGCCAUUAGAAAUAAAAUUUUAAAAAGUAAAUUAAUUUAUCUCUUUAAGGAUUAAAAAGUCAAAUACUAAUUUAAUUAAUUAAAUUAAUUAAAAAACGAAAUAUAUUAUCAAUUUC